UCCGUAGGCGGAUCGAUAAGUCAGAGGUGAAAUCCCACAGCUUAACUGUGGAACUGCCUUUGAAACUGUUGGUCUUGAGUUAUAUGGAAGUAGAUAGAAUGUGUAGUGUAGCGGUGAAAUGCAUAGAGAUUACACAGAAUACCGAUUGCGAAGGCAGUCUACUACGUAUAUACUGACGCUAAUGGACGAAAGCGUGGGGAGCGAACAGGAUUAGAUACCCUGGUAGUCC
RNAcentral lists this ribosomal RNA (229 nucleotides) under uncultured bacterium. Its description in RNAcentral is "partial 16S ribosomal RNA". It matches the Rfam family "Bacterial small subunit ribosomal RNA", at positions 568 to 796 of the family's 1533-position model. The record is from RNAcentral.